This 1048-nucleotide long non-coding RNA is filed under the name Gossypium barbadense (sea-island cotton). RNAcentral's name for it is "long non-coding RNA (GBAR_LNC010167)". The record is from RNAcentral. Lineage: Eukaryota; Viridiplantae; Streptophyta; Magnoliopsida; Malvales; Malvaceae.
CCCUAUCUAAACACUGUGAAAGAUUACCUCUACUCUAGGUGAAUUGAGGCUUACAGAAACCCAAGUCAUGAAGACCAUUAUCAAACAGGAAAUUUUGAAAACCAUUACAUCCACCUGUCCGUUCCAAAGGCUCCAAAAUCGAAUUAAAAUCUCCUGCUAGAACCUAUGGUUCCCUAAUAGUUUUAGCAAGAGAAUCCAAAUACUCCCAUAACUCCUGUCGUAUUUCUGGUUGUAGGCUAGCAUACACUGUUGAACACAAAAACUUAAAGGGUCCUUAUUUGUUGCUCGCUCUCACAAGAAUCACUUGCGAAUGCAAAUUCAGAAUAUCAAUUAAGAGACUGUCACUCCAAAGAAUCCAAAUCCUACUAGAAAACCCUCUCGCUUCAAUUUUGAACGAAUUUAAGAACCCAAGUUUUGCAAUGAUUCCAUCACCCAAAUACCACUGACCUAUGUCUCAAAUAAGCACAUUACAUCAGGGCAAAACUCUCUCCUACACUCAGCCAUGAAAUUAUGAAAAAUGGGAUGCCUUUUUCUUUAGCAAUUCCAAAAAAAAGUUUUAAAUCCAUAAACCAGAUAACAAUAAAAAGCACUAACAAGCCAACAUAAGUUGUACAAGCAAACUUAACAGCUAAUAUCAUCAUCACCAAUAUAAUCAUCCAUAAUUUCCAUAGCUGAAAGCAACAUAUCUACCAUAAGAUUAGCAUCGGGUUCCUACUCAACGGCCCGCACAAUACCCUCCAUUGCCGCCGUUACGUCUACAAUGGGAUUCCCUGAACCUACUAAUUCACAAUCUGGCAGUUUCUUCCGCUGAACAUUACCAUCUCAAAAGUUUGCACAUCUGUGUUUGAACACCCAAUACUUGACUCUCUAAAGUGAAACACAUUUUUUUAUUUCCCUUUUGAAGCAUUAUAUUCUCCACUCUUAACCACCUGAACUGCCCCAUGUUUGUUUCUGUCUAAUUUCGACUGGAAAUUUACAAGCAAAAAAUUGAAACAUUUAUCCUUAACAUUUGGGACAAGCGAACCCAUUCCAGAACCAUCAUCAAAUC